GUGCCAGCAGCCGCGGUAAGACGAGGGAUCCUAGCGUUGUUCGGAAUUAUUGGGCGUAAAGCGGGUGUAGGUGGACUUAUAAGUCAGGUGUGAAAUCCCAGGGCUCAACCCUGGAAGUGCACUUGAUACUGCAAGUCUUGAGUGUGGUAGAGGCUAUUAGAAUUCUUGGUGUAGUGGUGAAAUACGUAGAUAUCAAGAGGAAUACCGGAGGCGAAGGCGGAUAGCUGGGCCAACACUGACACUGAGACCCGAAAGCGUGGGGAUCAAACAGGAUUAGAUACCCCGGUAGUCC
RNAcentral lists this ribosomal RNA (292 nucleotides) under uncultured bacterium. RNAcentral describes it as "partial 16S ribosomal RNA". It matches the Rfam family "Bacterial small subunit ribosomal RNA", at positions 505 to 796 of the family's 1533-position model. The record is from RNAcentral.